Molecule: ribosomal RNA, 468 nt
Filed under: uncultured bacterium
Lineage: Bacteria
Description: partial 16S ribosomal RNA
Rfam family: Bacterial small subunit ribosomal RNA
Source: RNAcentral
GACGAACGCUGGCGGCGUGCUUAACACAUGCAAGUCGAACGGAAAGGCCCUGCUUUUGUGGGGUGCUCGAGUGGCGAACGGGUGAGUAACACGUGAGUAACCUGCCCUUGUCUUUGGGAUAACUUCAGGAAACUGGGGCUAAUACCGGAUAGGAGCUCCUGCUGCAUGGUGGGGGUUGGAAAGUUUCGGCGGUUGGGGAUGGACUCGCGGCUUAUCAGCUUGUUGGUGGGGUAGUGGCUUACCAAGGCUUUGACGGGUAGCCGGCCUGAGAGGGUGACCGGCCACAUUGGGACUGAGAUACGGCCCAGACUCCUACGGGAGGCAGAAGUGGGGAAUAUUGCACAAUGGGCGGAAGCCUGAUGCAGCAACGCCGCGUGCGGGAUGACGGCCUUCGGGUUGUAAACCGCUUUCGCCUGUGACGAAGCGUGAGUGACGGUAAUGGGUAAAGAAGCACCGGCUAACUACGUG